CUAGAAAGAUUCCGGUUGAUCCUGCCGGACCCGACCGCUAUCCGGGUGGGACUAAGCCAUGCAAGUCUAGUGGGGCACCUAAACGUCCCAUGGCAGACUGCUCAGUAACGCGUGGUCAACUUACCCUAAGGAGGGGUAUAACCUCGGGAAACUGAGGACAAUGCCCCAUAGUUGAGAAGGCUUGGAAGAGUUUCUCAUCGAAAGAGUGUCAUAAACGGUUGACAUUUCGCCAUAGGAUAGGACCGCGUUCGAUUAUGGUUGUUGGUGGGGUAACGGCCUACCAAGCCUAUAACCGGUACGGGCCCUGAGAGGGGGAGCCCGGAGAUGGGAACUGAGACAAGGUCCCAGGUCCUACGGGGCGCAGCAGGCGCGAAAACUCCGCAAUGCGCGAAUGCGUGACGGGGUUAUCCCGAGUGCCGUCCGAUGAGGAUGGCUUUUCUUCAGUUUAAGGAUCUGGAGGAAUAAAGGGGGGGCAAGACUGGUGUCAGCCGCCGCGGUAAUACCAGCCCCCUGAGUGGUAGGGACGAUUAUUUGGCCUAAAGCGUCCGUAGCCGGCUUAGCAAGUCUUUCGUCAAAUCCGACGAUUCAAUCGUUGGAACGCGGAAGAAACUACUUUGCUUGAGGGCGGGAGAGGUCGACGGUAGUCCCAGGGUAGGGGUGAAAUCCUAUAAUCCUGGGAGGACCACCAGUGGCGAAGGCGGUCGACUAGAACGCGCCUGACGGUGAUGGACGAAAGCUGGGGGAGCGAACCGGAUUAGACACCCGGGUAGUCCCAGCUGUAAACGAUGCGAGCUGGGUGUUGGAGCAACUACGGGUUGCUCCAGUGCCGCAGAGAAGUUGUUAAGCUCGCCGCCUGGGAAGUACGGCCGCAAGGCUGAAACUUAAAGGA
Molecule: ribosomal RNA, 889 nt
Filed under: uncultured crenarchaeote
Lineage: Archaea; Thermoproteati; Thermoproteota
Description: bacterial SSU rRNA
Rfam family: Archaeal small subunit ribosomal RNA
Source: RNAcentral